RNAcentral lists this ribosomal RNA (118 nucleotides) under Cytophagaceae bacterium. RNAcentral describes it as "partial 16S ribosomal RNA". It matches the Rfam family "Bacterial small subunit ribosomal RNA", at positions 1421 to 1533 of the family's 1533-position model. Lineage: Bacteria; Pseudomonadati; Bacteroidota; Cytophagia; Cytophagales; Cytophagaceae. The record is from RNAcentral.
CAGAAGCAGGUAGCUUAACCUUCGGGAGGGCGCUUGCCACGGUGUGGCCGAUGACUGGGGUGAAGUCGUAACAAGGUAGCCGUAUCGGAAGGUGCGGCUGGAUCACCUCCUUUUGAGC